Molecule: ribosomal RNA, 48 nt
Filed under: Ilex rugosa
Lineage: Eukaryota; Viridiplantae; Streptophyta; Magnoliopsida; Aquifoliales; Aquifoliaceae
Description: partial 26S ribosomal RNA
Source: RNAcentral
GACCCCAGGUCAGACGGGAUUACCCGCUUAAUUUAAGCAUAUCAAUUA